AGGGACUUAAAUAGUGGUUUAGAAGAUGAGACCCCCCUCUCUGAGAGGUCCCCAUCCGCUCCAUGCCUCCCCUCUCCGGGAAUGGCCGCCGCCCCCUCUGUCUCCGGUGCGCCGGCAUCGACUGCCAGCAGGGUGGGGGUCACCCUUCCCUGUCGGUCUUAUCCCUUCGUUUUUUUUUUUUAAUAAUAAUCAUUAUACUGGCUACAGUAAAAUUUGGGCCCAACCCUUAACUGGGCCUAUUUUUCUAUUGGGCCUAGUAGGUUGUGGGCCCGGACAUUACA
Molecule: long non-coding RNA, 281 nt
Filed under: Phoenix dactylifera (date palm)
Lineage: Eukaryota; Viridiplantae; Streptophyta; Magnoliopsida; Arecales; Arecaceae
Description: long non-coding RNA (PDAC_LNC008070)
Source: RNAcentral